This 253-nucleotide ribosomal RNA is filed under the name uncultured bacterium. RNAcentral describes it as "partial 16S ribosomal RNA". It matches the Rfam family "Bacterial small subunit ribosomal RNA", at positions 524 to 776 of the family's 1533-position model. The record is from RNAcentral.
GACAGAGGGUGCAAACGUUGUUCGGAUUUACUGGGCGUAAAGCGCGUGUAGGCGGCUUUGCAAGUCGGAUGUGAAAGCCCACGGCUCAACCGUGGAAGUGCAUCCGAAACUGCAUGGCUGGAGUCCCGGAGAGGAAGGUGGAAUGCUUGGUGUAGAGGUGAAAUUCGUAGAUAUCAAGCAGAACACCAGUGGCGAAGGCGGCUCACUGGCCCGGUACUGACGCUGAGGCACGAAAGCGUGGGGAGCAAACAGG